This 106-nucleotide small nuclear RNA is filed under the name Neogale vison (American mink). The record is from RNAcentral. Lineage: Eukaryota; Metazoa; Chordata; Mammalia; Carnivora; Mustelidae.
GUGCUCGCUUCUGUAGCUCGCAUACGGAGAUUGGAACAAUACAGAGAAAAUUAACCUGUCAUCAUACAAGGAUGAUGUGUAAAUUCAUGUCGUGUUCCGUAUUUAA